CUAGAAAUUAUAUCUUACUUAUUGGUAAAGUGUUAAAGUGUCGGAGUAAAUUUAUUAAAUAUGGAGGAAAGUACCAACAAAUGUUUAGUAGUUGGCUUAGCAUUGGAAAUUGUUUAAUCCACCUCAUACUCCGCUUGUAUUUGAAAUCAUCAGCGGAAUAGAAUAUAAUAUUUAUCAAAAUACUAGAACACAUGAAAAUAUGUAGAAAAACAGACACCAAUUGGCGCAACAUAAAUUGCGCGAUUUAGCGCUGUAAAUAACUGCGACAAAACAAUCAAUAAAAUUGAGGUUAAAUGGCUGGCGAGGAAGCGAAAUCCAAAUGAAAGCGAAUUUAUGCGAAACAAAAUACAUUUAUGCACGAGAAUUCAAACAGACAUAGAACAACAUGGAACAAAAACAAAAUGAAACAAAAACACACACGAGCACUCAUGUCACUAUGAUGUUGAAACAUUUUUCAAUUUCUACAAAUUCGUUGUUUUUGUUAUUUGUUAUUCGUACGACAACAACAGUGAAAAUAAAACGGUUUGUAUCUGAAUAAACAAAACCAUAAAUAAGGCGGCGGGGAGGGAGAAAAGUGUCUAAGAAAGAUCUACUAACUAACUAAGACCUUCGUGUCAUAACUACUCACCAGUGCAGACGUAACGUGUGCAAGAAUGCUGACAAACCCUCGAUAAUGACGAGAAUGGCGACUGUGAAAAAUGCCCACGCAGCGAAUACGAUAUAUAGAAAGAUGGGACCACCGAAAAUCAACGGCAGCAUAAAGCCCUUUUGCAUCACCAUCAUCCACAAGACCUCUGAUAAUUCUAUAAUAACCAAAAACGGCAGCUAAACAAGAGUACGUAACUCGUUAACUAUGCAUAGAGUAUACUUACGCGCAUGCGCCAAUGAGAGCGCCCACAAGCGCAGAUAAGACGCCGUGUGCGAGAUGGUGCUCAGCACAUACUCGAUGGUGUGUAUGGCUUGCUUGAUAUACACCUCACUCAUCGGUUCUUCUGCGUCAAUGCUGUGACCGCCGCCGGCAUGUCCGUUUGCCAAUGGUUGCUGCGUAUCACCCGAAACUGUUGAGAUAUGCACAUCACCAUUGGUGUAUGCAGUUCGUGGCUGUAGUGUACAAAAAUUAAUUAUUUGUUUCAAACCGAAUUUUAUGUAUAUUGCAAAGUACGCACCGCUCUUCGGACACGCUUAAAUUUCUCGUGCAAUGGAGUGCCCAACAACAUCCAUGGUAUGCAAAGUACCGCUAUCACAACCAACACUA
Molecule: long non-coding RNA, 1255 nt
Organism: Zeugodacus cucurbitae (melon fly)
Lineage: Eukaryota; Metazoa; Arthropoda; Insecta; Diptera; Tephritidae
Exons: 2
Source: RefSeq, a predicted model, not a curated record